This is a long non-coding RNA of Oreochromis niloticus (Nile tilapia), 2001 nucleotides long. RefSeq lists it as uncharacterized. The record is from RefSeq and is a predicted model, not a curated record. The transcript has 2 exons. NCBI's taxonomy places the organism in Eukaryota, Metazoa, Chordata, Actinopteri, Cichliformes, Cichlidae.
ACGCAAAAACAAAUUGAAAAGCGCAACAACAAAUUGAAAAGCGCAAAAACAAAUUCACUAAACGCAACAACAAAUUGAAAAGCGCAACAACAAAAGAAGAAUCACAAAAACAAAUUGAGAAGCACAAUUACAUUAAGAAAACCGGAAAGGGUAGGUACCAGUCGGCAACAGGAGACAUCACUGAUUGGAUGUCCGCGCUGUUCGUCUUUGGAACCGGAAGUUACUCUGCCUGUAGCGCAUUAUUUUCAAACGUGAACAUUAGCGGUGACCCAAACAUAGCUGUCACUAUUCGAGAAUAUUUUUGAUUCAGGACAUACAUACGAGGUGAUACUGGAUAUGCUCAAGUGUAAUCGUGACAUUUCAAUUAGUAUGCGUACACUGAAAACACAUUUAAAAGAAUCUGGACUGUACAGACGAGGCAACUAUUCUCCACUUCCUGAGGUGAGGCGUGCCAUUUUGUCCGAGCUUCGAGGACCAGGACAAUUGUUUGGAUAUCGGACCAUGUGGCAAGUUCUCAAACAAAAACACAAGCUGCGUGUCAAGCGUGAUGUAGUUAUGAGGCUGUUGAGACAACUAAAUCCUCAAGGAAUCGCUUUGAGAACUCGAAGGAGGUUCACAAGACGCACGUAUCACUCCAUGGGGCCCAAUUACAUAUGGCAUGUAGAUGGCUAUGAUAAACUGAAACCCUGUCAGGAUGUAUAGAUGGCUUUUCAAGAAGACUGAUGUGGCUUGUGUGUGGAGCAACAAACAACAACCCGGCUGUUAUAGCUCACAAUUAUAUAAACUGUGUAAAGAGUCUUGGUGUGAUACCAAUGAGAUUACGAACAGACUUCGGGACUGAGAAUGGGACUAUGGCAGCAAUACAGUGUACCCUCCGUCACGCGCACACGGACUAUUAUGCUGGAUCGUCAAGCCACAGUUAUGGAUCAUCUACUGGGAAUCAGCGCAUCGAGUCAUGGUGGUCUUAUUUCAGAAGAGGAAGGUGGGUACAUUUGUGUCUGGUAGGUGUAAGCUACAGUGAAAGCUGAUCAGAUUGUUGUUUUUUUUACAUGCAUUUAAGAAAAUAGAGUAGCGUCCUGCUGGACGUGUUGAAAAGUUGGAUGAGAUAGACGUUAACAGCCGUCACUUUAUUGCAGGAACUCAAAAUGGUCAUUGUCAGCUGUUGUGCCGAAAUGAGCAUGCUUGCCUAGAUUUAACGACGCCAAUACAAAAUGAAAAACUCAGACCAAACUCUCCACUCCUCACAAUCAACACACAGAACAGAGUGAAAAGAAUACAGCAUUUUUAACAAGAACAUUACUGCAGGGUCGCUACAAUAUUUAUGGAAAACUAAUAUGCAUUACUUUGUUUGACAUCCAUUUGUGGCAUGUUUUAAAUGGGACCAAAAUGUAACAAACCCUAUAAAAUGACCAAGAACAAAGCUAAAUUGAUUCUUAAAUAUUAAUUAUAUACCCAGGUCUCAGUUUUGGAUGGACUUUUUUGGAGACCUAAGAGACUCUGGAAACUUCAAUGGAAGCCACGAACGCCAAUGCUUGCUGAGAUUCUGCUUCACAGGGGUUCUACAGAAAGACCUGGAUGAAUGCAAAGACCUCUGGAACAAACACAGGAUCCGGCCAAGCAGACUUGCAUCGUGUCCAGGGGGGAUUCCAAACAAACUCUCUCUUGCCUCACAGAUAUGGUUCAAGAGACUGUGGAUUUGCUGUUGAGGAGAGGGAACUGGAUGCGUUUCCCGAGGAGGGGCUACUGGUUGGAUUGUGUGGUGAUCCAAACAUUGGGGAAUAUUUACAACAGGCUGUACAACAAAACACACUGCAGCAGCCACAAGACUGGGAAUCGGCCACAGAACUGUAUUUGGCCCUGAAGGACAUAGCUGGGUUUUAAAUACCAACUGAACUUCAGUUUGUAAUGACAUUUGUCAGAGUUACUCUGACGAAGACACACACGGUGUCAAAACGUUAGUUUCUUUCCUUUUUUUGCACCUAAUAAAACCUUUGGACUUAC